UACGAAGGGGGCUAGCGUUGCUCGGAAUCACUGGGCGUAAAGGGUGCGUAGGCGGGUAUUUAAGUCAGGGGUGAAAUCCUGGAGCUCAACUCCAGAACUGCCUUUGAUACUGAGUAUCUUGAGUACGGGAGAGGUGAGUGGAACUGCGAGUGUAGAGGUGAAAUUCGUAGAUAUUCGCAAGAACACCAGUGGCGAAGGCGGCUCACUGGCCCGUUACUGACGCUGAGGCACGAAAGCGUGGGGAGCAAACAGG
RNAcentral lists this ribosomal RNA (253 nucleotides) under uncultured bacterium. RNAcentral describes it as "partial 16S ribosomal RNA". It matches the Rfam family "Bacterial small subunit ribosomal RNA", at positions 524 to 776 of the family's 1533-position model. The record is from RNAcentral.